UGUGGUUCAGUGGUGGAGCGCUUGCCUAGCAUGCAUGAAGCCCUGGGUUCGAUUCCCCAGCA
This 62-nucleotide transfer RNA is filed under the name Dipodomys ordii (Ord's kangaroo rat). It matches the Rfam family "tRNA", at positions 6 to 65 of the family's 71-position model. Rfam says of the family: Transfer RNA (tRNA) molecules are approximately 80 nucleotides in length. Their secondary structure includes four short double-helical elements and three loops (D, anti-codon, and T loops). The record is from Rfam by way of RNAcentral. Lineage: Eukaryota; Metazoa; Chordata; Mammalia; Rodentia; Heteromyidae.